AAAUAUCGGAUGGGUCAGGCUGCAACUCCCGUUUAUCUUUCUGUGAAACAAGUUAAGUCGUCAAUAUGUUUACACUAACAGGUGCCAUGUCGAUGUGAAACGUAACAGACUGUGAUGAGUUGAAAGUCAGUUUUGAAUAGCAGACAAAGGCUAAACACCGGCUCAACGCUAAACUGGCGCGGAUCCAGGGCUCCUGCCACACCAGCCCAAACCCCAGUCCCGGUCCCACUCUCGCCAAAGGCUCAGCCGCCGCCCCUGGUCCAGAGACGACGGCAGGUUUAAAAUGUGCAGAUGGGGCUGUACUGAAGUAAACACGACCUAUAUGUGUAAAUGGUGUGGGACCCGCUAUUGUAAGGAAUGUGGUAGAGGCGAGUUUAUCGGCGAGAUGUCAUCACCAAAUAAAUGCAGAGUAUGCUUCCAGUUAAAAUGCCAGGGCCCGUUGGUGGAAUUUGCACCAAGAGGUAACUCAUCAGACAAAGACAAAGAAAGGAGCACAUCCUCCAGAACAGAAAAAUCAGCAAAAAGCAAGAGCACUUCCUCAAAAAAAGUCAACAAAUAAAAGAA
Long non-coding RNA from Pristis pectinata (smalltooth sawfish), 564 nucleotides. RefSeq lists it as uncharacterized. The record is from RefSeq and is a predicted model, not a curated record. The transcript has 3 exons. NCBI's taxonomy places the organism in Eukaryota, Metazoa, Chordata, Chondrichthyes, Rhinopristiformes, Pristidae.